AAAUAAUCAUGUAACUGGCGGAAAUGGAGUUUACCAUAGGGAGCAUGAUUAAAAAAGAUAUCGACCGCCUGGGUAAAUUAU
RNAcentral lists this non-coding RNA (81 nucleotides) under Clostridium autoethanogenum. RNAcentral's name for it is "ZTP sequence". It matches the Rfam family "ZMP/ZTP riboswitch aptamer (pfl RNA motif)". From Rfam's summary of the family: Previously known as pfl RNA. ZMP is also known as AICAR. The record is from RNAcentral. Lineage: Bacteria; Bacillati; Bacillota; Clostridia; Eubacteriales; Clostridiaceae.